RNAcentral lists this long non-coding RNA (204 nucleotides) under Lathyrus oleraceus (garden pea). RNAcentral's name for it is "Pisum sativum (pea) long non-coding RNA (PSAT_LNC028432)". Lineage: Eukaryota; Viridiplantae; Streptophyta; Magnoliopsida; Fabales; Fabaceae. The record is from RNAcentral.
UUAACUGAGGCUCUGGAGACUUACUGGAGUUUGAAGCUCGAAAUAGCUUGAGACAUCUCUAGUGUUGGAUUCUCUCUCCUCUAUUUUCUCCUUUCCCUAUUUUUAUUUUAUUCUUGUCUUCUUGUUUUUAUUUUCUUUUGUAUUAUUCUUCUUAUGAAUGAUUUUUUUUCUUUUCUCUUGUUUUUACUCUUCAUUCAUCAUUUU